Molecule: ribosomal RNA, 433 nt
Filed under: uncultured bacterium
Lineage: Bacteria
Description: partial 16S ribosomal RNA
Rfam family: Bacterial small subunit ribosomal RNA
Source: RNAcentral
AACGAACGCUGGCGGCAUGCCUAACACAUGCAAGUCUAACUAGACCUUCGGUUCUAGUGGCGCACGGGUGCGUAACGCGUGGGAACCUGCCCUUAGGUUCGGAAUAACUCCCCGAAAGGGGUGCUAAUACCGGAUAAUGUCUUCGGACCAAAGAUUUAUCGCCUUUGGAUGGGCCCGCGUUGGAUUAGCUAGUUGGUAGGGUAAAAGCCUACCAAGGCGACGAUCCAUAGCUGGUCUGAGAGGAUGAUCAGCCACACUGGGACUGAGACACGGCACAGACUCCGACGGGAGGCAGCAGUGGGGAAUAAUGGACAACGGGAGAAAGCCUGAUCCAGCAAUGCCGCGUGAGUGAUGAAGGCCUUAGGGUUGUAAAGCUCUUUUACCCAGGAUGAUAAUGACAGUACCGGGAGAAUAAGCUACGGCUAAAUCCGUG